UUUAAGCUUCCUCGGGAGGCUGCAGUGGGGAAUCUUAGACAAUGGGGGAAACCCUGAUCUAGCCAUGCCGCGUGAUCGAUGAAGGCCUUAGGGUUGUAAAGAUCUUUCAGGUGGGAAGAUAAUGACUGUACCACCAGAAGAAGCCCCGGCUAACUCCGUGCCAGCAGCCGCGGUAAUACGGAGGGGGCUAGCGUUGUUCGGAAUUACUGGGCGUAAAGCGCACGUAGGCGGAUCAGAAAGUCAGAGGUGAAAUCCCAGGGCUCAACCUUGGAACUGCCUUUGAAACUCCUGAUCUUGAGGUCGAGAGAGGUGAGUGGAAUUCCGAGUGUAGAGGUGAAAUUCGUAGAUAUUCGGAGGAACACCAGUGGCGAAGGCGGCUCACUGGCUCGAUACUGACGCUGAGGUGCGAAAGCGUGGGGAGCAAACAGGAUUAGAUACCCUUGUAGUCGAAUUCU
Molecule: ribosomal RNA, 455 nt
Filed under: uncultured bacterium
Lineage: Bacteria
Description: bacterial SSU rRNA
Rfam family: Bacterial small subunit ribosomal RNA
Source: RNAcentral